UACGAAGGGGGCUAGCGUUGCUCGGAAUCACUGGGCGUAAAGGGCGCGUAGGCGGACUCUUAAGUCGGAGGUGAAAGCCCAGGGCUCAACCCUGGAAUUGCCUUCGAUACUGGGAGUCUUGAGUUCGGAAGAGGUUGGUGGGACUGCGAGUGUAGAGGUGAAAUUCGUAGAUAUUCGCAAGAACACCAGUGGCGAAGGCGGCCAACUGGUCCGAUACUGACGCUGAGGCGCGAAAGCGUGGGGAGCAAACAGG
Molecule: ribosomal RNA, 253 nt
Filed under: uncultured bacterium
Lineage: Bacteria
Description: partial 16S ribosomal RNA
Rfam family: Bacterial small subunit ribosomal RNA
Source: RNAcentral